AUUGAACGCUGGCGGCAGGCUUACACAUGCAAGUCGAGCGGAGAUGAGGUGCUUGCACCUUAUCUUAGCGGCGGACGGGUGAGUAAUGCUUAGGAAUCUGCCUAUUAGUGGGGGACAACAUUCCGAAAGGAAUGCUAAUACCGCAUACGUCCUACGGGAGAAAGCAGGGGAUCUUCGGACCUUGCGCUAAUAGAUGAGCCUAAGUUGGAUUAGCUAGUUGGUGGGGUAAAGGCCUACCAAGGCGACGAUCUGUAGCGGGUCUGAGAGGAUGAUCCGCCACACUGGGACUGAGACACGGCCCAGACUCCUACGGGAGGCAGCAGUGGGGAAUAUUGGACAAUGGGGGGAACCCUGAUCCAGCCAUGCCGCGUGUGUGAAGAAGGCCUUAUGGUUGUAAAGCACUUUAAGCGAGGAGGAGGCUACUGAGACUAAUACUCUUGGAUAGUGGACGUUACUCGCAGAAUAAGCACCGGCUAACUCUGUGCCAGCAGCCGCCGCGG
RNAcentral lists this ribosomal RNA (500 nucleotides) under uncultured bacterium. RNAcentral describes it as "partial 16S ribosomal RNA". It matches the Rfam family "Bacterial small subunit ribosomal RNA", at positions 30 to 523 of the family's 1533-position model. The record is from RNAcentral.